CGGCUGCCGCUGCGCCUGUGCGUGCUAUCCGGUUGGCUGCGUAAACGCGCUCGCGCAGCGGCACUACUAGGAUGACAGCUCAGACCUGUCCACGUCAACAGCGAACACAGACGCGAUGGAUUCCAUGUCCAUGGAGCCGUCCCUCUACACAGUGAAGGCUCUCUUCAUCCUCGACAACGAUGGCAACAGGUUGCUGUCAAAGUAUUACGACCCUGAGCUGUACCCUUCUAUGAAGGAGCAGAACAACUUUGAGAAGAAUGUUUUUAACAAGACCCACAAGGCAGACAAUGAGAUAGCGUUCUUGGAGGGGAUGACCGUGGUCUAUAAGAGCAGCAUAGAUCUCUUCUUCUACGUGGUUGGCAGCCCGCAGGAGAAUGAGUUGAUGCUGAUGUCGGUGUUGAACUGCCUGUUUGACGCACUCACUCAGAUCCUCAGCAGCUGUGCUGGCUGCCAUGGAAACCGAUGUGGUAGCAAUGCAGGGGGAUGGGGAAAGAAUGUGGAGCGCAGAUACCUCCUAGAGAACAUGGAAGGAGUGUUCCUGGUGGUGGACGAAAUCAUCGAUGGCGGGGUCAUCCUGGAGAGCGACCCACAGCAGGUUCUGCAGAAGGUCAACUAUAAGCUGGUGUCAGAACAGGCCUAUGGCUUCGUCUUGUUUGAUUACAUCACCGGUAGCCUAGAGGGAGUGGCAGAGAGAGGUCAACUGCUGUAGACAGUUGAAGAGGUCGGAUGAGAGCCCAUUAUCGGAACAGAGUGUGGCCCAGCAUAUAACAGAAAAACUGGCUCUUACUACGAAUGUGAUACAAUCGGCAAAGGACCAAAUUAAAUGGUCUAUCCUGAAAUAAAGGCCUAUAUGGAUCAAAGGAACGAUACUGCAAGAUAUAGGAAAAAUAUGCUACAAGAAGCAAACCCUUUAUUUUCUUACUGCGCUAAAGGGACGUUCAGUUUAUGGGCUUUCAUGCUGGUACCUAAAAUGAUUGUAGCUAAAAAAUAUUUUUUGCUAUACAAUUAUAUUUGUAUGUUUUGUAUGUAUAGUUGGAUUUGUUUAAUUUAUUGGAGUUUAGGGAUGACUGUAUUGGUCUCUAAUCGAGAUGUGGUUCAUUUAAAUAAAAAAAUAAGUAGAAAAGCAUAUGAAAUAAAUAAGUUUAAAAUCAUAUCUAAAGCAUUAACCUUAAACGAAUAUAGUUACUUUUGAAGAAAAUGUAGUUCCAUAACAUUAAGGCGGCCUGUUUUUGAACAUUAUUACUGAAGGCUGUUAUGAUAUUUAAAAAAUAUAUAUUUGUUAGUGAAGGAGGUUGCGAUAACAUUUUCUGAAGUAAAAAUAUAAAAAGUAAUAACAUGAUUAUUACAUAAAUCAUAAACGCAUUAUUUCAUAUGAACAGGCCUAUAUGUGUAAUACAUUUGUUUAUGUAGUUUGACAUUUGCAUGUUAAUAUAUUAUUUUUUCACCGUUUCCCAUUGUUCGAUCAAAUAGCCUACUGAAAUUAUUCAAAGAGUUUGAGGGAAAGGUUGACAGGUUAUUUGUGUGUUUUUUUUGUUAAGAAUGUAAUGUGUUACUGUUUGCACUUUUUGCUUUUCAUGUGGAUUAAAUUGUUUCUAUUUUUUUGCUAAGUAAUUAAUGCAUUUGUAGAUCAUCUAGCAUAUUGGGGACAUUCAAUAUCGAAAAAAAACUAUUUGUUGCCAAAAUUAUAGAAUAAUGUAGUAUAUUUUAGUAACAAAACGGUCAUUUAUAUUACAUUUUAUAUAUUUUUAGUUAAAGCCGAAUACAUUAUGCUUUGUUUAUGUGAUUUCCUGAUAACGAAUUUGGCAUAUGAGAUUUGUGAAACGACAAAUAAAUAAAAACAAUGCAAGUCUUUA
Molecule: RNA transcript, 1853 nt
Organism: Gadus macrocephalus (Pacific cod)
Lineage: Eukaryota; Metazoa; Chordata; Actinopteri; Gadiformes; Gadidae
Gene: copz2
Gene name: COPI coat complex subunit zeta 2
Exons: 12
Source: RefSeq, a predicted model, not a curated record